GCGGGAGUGGCGGAAUCGGCAGACGCGCACGUUUGAGGGGCGUGUAUCUUUGAUGUACGGGUUCAAGUCCCGUUUCCCGCACCA
Molecule: transfer RNA, 84 nt
Filed under: Clostridia bacterium
Lineage: Bacteria; Bacillati; Bacillota; Clostridia
Also listed under: 1 other name
Description: tRNA-Leu
Rfam family: tRNA
About the family: Transfer RNA (tRNA) molecules are approximately 80 nucleotides in length. Their secondary structure includes four short double-helical elements and three loops (D, anti-codon, and T loops).
Source: RNAcentral